CGUUGAUUUAGGCUUAUUUAGUAAGACUAACACCAAGCGGAGGGCUGGGAGUGAAGAAAAUUACUUAGUGGCGAACGGGUGAGUAACGCGUGAGUAACCUGCCCUGGAGUGGGGGACAACAGUUGGAAACGACUGCUAAUACCGCAUAAGCCCACAGUGCCGCAUGGCACAGCGGGAAAAGGAUUUAUUCGCUUCAGGAUGGACUCGCGUCCAAUUAGCUAGUUGGUGAGGUAAUGGCCCACCAAGGCGACGAUUGGUAGCCGGACUGAGAGGUUGAACGGCCACAUUGGGACUGAGACACGGCCCAGACUCCUACGGGAGGCAGCAGUGGGGGAUAUUGCACAAUGGGGGAAACCCUGAUGCAGCGACGCCGCGUGGAGGAAGAAGGUUUUCGGAUUGUAAACUCCUGUCGUUAGGGACGAACUUUGACGGUACCUAACAAGAAAGCACCGGCUAACUACGUGCCAGCAGCCGCGGUAAAACGUAGGGUGCAAGCGUUGUCCGGAAUUACUGGGUGUAAAGGGAGCGCAGGCGGACCGGCAAGUUGGAAGUGAAAUCUAUGGGCUCAACCCAUAAAUUGCUUUCAAAACUGCUGGCCUUGAGUAGUGCAGAGGUAGGUGGAAUUCCCGGUGUAGCGGUGGAAUGCGUAGAUAUCGGGAGGAACACCAGUGGCGAAGGCGACCUACUGGGCACCAACUGACGCUGAGGCUCGAAAGCAUGGGUAGCAAACAGGAUUAGAUACCCUGGUAGUCCAUGCCGUAAACGAUGAUUACUAGGUGUUGGAGGAUUGACCCCUUCAGUGCCGCAGUUAACACAAUAAGUAAUCCACCUGGGGAGUACGACCGCAAGGUUGAAACUCAAAGGAAUUGACGGGGGCCCGCACAAGCAGUGGAGUAUGUGGUUUAAUUCGAAGCAACGCGAAGAACCUUACCAGGUCUUGACAUCCGAUGCAUAGUGCAGAGAUGCAUGAAGUCCUUCGGGACAUCGAGACAGGUGGUGCAUGGUUGUCGUCAGCUCGUGUCGUGAGAUGUUGGGUUAAGUCCCGCAACGAGCGCAACCCUUAUUGCCAGUUACUACGCAAGAGGACUCUGGCGAGACUGCCGUUGACAAAACGGAGGAAGGUGGGGAUGACGUCAAAUCAUCAUGCCCUUUAUGACCUGGGCUACACACGUACUACAAUGGCGUUUAACAAAGAGAAGCAAGACCGCGAGGUGGAGCAAAACUCAAAAACAACGUCUCAGUUCAGAUUGCAGGCUGCAACUCGCCUGCAUGAAGUCGGAAUUGCUAGUAAUCGCGGAUCAGCAUGCCGCGGUGAAUACGUUCCCGGGCCUUGUACACACCGCCCGUCACACCAUGAGAGCCGGGGGGACCC
RNAcentral lists this ribosomal RNA (1372 nucleotides) under uncultured bacterium. RNAcentral describes it as "bacterial SSU rRNA". It matches the Rfam family "Bacterial small subunit ribosomal RNA". The record is from RNAcentral.